This 19-nucleotide non-coding RNA is filed under the name Arabidopsis thaliana (thale cress). Lineage: Eukaryota; Viridiplantae; Streptophyta; Magnoliopsida; Brassicales; Brassicaceae. The record is from RNAcentral.
CUUGUUUUGGAUCUCUCUC